This 427-nucleotide ribosomal RNA is filed under the name uncultured Pseudomonas sp. RNAcentral describes it as "bacterial SSU rRNA". It matches the Rfam family "Bacterial small subunit ribosomal RNA", at positions 355 to 774 of the family's 1533-position model. The record is from RNAcentral. Lineage: Bacteria; Pseudomonadati; Pseudomonadota; Gammaproteobacteria; Pseudomonadales; Pseudomonadaceae.
UGGGGAAUAUUGGACAAUGGGCGAAAGCCUGAUCCAGCCAUGCCGCGUGUGUGAAGAAGGUCUUCGGAUUGUAAAGCACUUUAAGUUGGGAGGAAGGGCAGUAAGUUAAUACCUUGCUGUUUUGACGUUACCAACAGAAUAAGCACCGGCUAACUUCGUGCCAGCAGCCGCGGUAAUACGAAGGGUGCAAGCGUUAAUCGGAAUUACUGGGCGUAAAGCGCGCGUAGGUGGUUCGUUAAGUUGGAUGUGAAAGCCCCGGGCUCAACCUGGGAACUGCAUCCAAAACUGGCGAGCUAGAGUAUGGCAGAGGGUGGUGGAAUUUCCUGUGUAGCGGUGAAAUGCGUAGAUAUAGGAAGGAACACCAGUGGCGAAGGCGACCACCUGGGCUAAUACUGACACUGAGGUGCGAAAGCGUGGGGAGCAAACA